UACGUAGGGCGCGAGCGUUGUCCGGAAUUACUGGGCGUAAAGAGCUCGUAGGUGGUUUGUCGCGUUGUUCGUGAAAACCGGGGGCUUAACCCUCGGCGUGCGGGCGAUACGGGCAGACUUGAGUACUGCAGGGGAGACUGGAAUUCCUGGUGUAGCGGUGGAAUGCGCAGAUAUCAGGAGGAACACCGGUGGCGAAGGCGGGGUCUCUGGGCAGUAACUGACGCUGAGGAGCGAAAGCGUGGGGAGCGAACAGG
RNAcentral lists this ribosomal RNA (254 nucleotides) under uncultured bacterium. Its description in RNAcentral is "partial 16S ribosomal RNA". It matches the Rfam family "Bacterial small subunit ribosomal RNA", at positions 524 to 776 of the family's 1533-position model. The record is from RNAcentral.